RNAcentral lists this ribosomal RNA (593 nucleotides) under Salmonella enterica subsp. enterica serovar Virchow. RNAcentral's name for it is "partial 23S ribosomal RNA". It matches the Rfam family "Bacterial large subunit ribosomal RNA", at positions 711 to 1299 of the family's 2925-position model. Lineage: Bacteria; Pseudomonadati; Pseudomonadota; Gammaproteobacteria; Enterobacterales; Enterobacteriaceae. The record is from RNAcentral.
AGACCCGAAACCCGGUGAUCUAGCCAUGGGCAGGUUGAAGGUUGGGUAACACUAACUGGAGGACCGAACCGACUAAUGUUGAAAAAUUAGCGGAUGACCUGUGGCUGGGGGUGAAAGGCCAAUCAAACCGGGAGAUAGCUGGUUCUCCCCGAAAGCUAUUUAGGUAGCGCCUCGUGAAUUCAUCUCCGGGGGUAGAGCACUGUUUCGGCUAGGGGGCCAUCCCGGCUUACCAACCCGAUGCAAACUGCGAAUACCGGAGAAUGUUAUCACGGGAGACACACGGCGGGUGCUAACGUCCGUCGUGAAGAGGGAAACAACCCAGACCGCCAGCUAAGGUCCCAAAGUCAUGGUUAAGUGGGAAACGAUGUGGGAAGGCCCAGACAGCCAGGAUGUUGGCUUAGAAGCAGCCAUCAUUUAAAGAAAGCGUAAUAGCUCACUGGUCGAGUCGGCCUGCGCGGAAGAUGUAACGGGGCUAAACCAUGCACCGAAGCUGCGGCAGCGACACUCAGGUGUUGUUGGGUAGGGGAGCGUUCUGUAAGCCUGUGAAGGUGGCCUGUGAGGGUUGCUGGAGGUAUCAGAAGUGCGAAUGCUGA